Long non-coding RNA from Phascolarctos cinereus (koala), 1564 nucleotides. The record is from Ensembl. Lineage: Eukaryota; Metazoa; Chordata; Mammalia; Diprotodontia; Phascolarctidae.
AGAUUGUAAGAGGUAUCUUAAGAGACUUAAUGUCGUGACUGUGGGUCAUGUUUGUCUUUGGUCGCUAGGAUGGAUUGGGCAGGAAUUACCUAUACUUAUUCUUUUUCAUACCUAGAAAGGGGUGAUUAGGACUGAGAAUUAGCCAUAUUGAGAGGUUCUGAAUCUUACAUGGUUAGUAUCUCAAUUACAAUUUUAAUGUGCUAGCUUAAAUAUUUAUUAUUAAAAACCUAAUAUAUUGCAUUUGUUUUCAGGGAAAGAUUCAAGGCCUAAGGGACUUCAUGCUUUCCCAGAGCAUUUUAUGGUGAGUUUAGAAUUGCUUCAUUUGUGUAAAAAGAACAGAAAAAACUCCCUCUAAAUAAAAAGCAAGAACAAUGUGAUUAAUACUUGUUCUAAUAAAAUUGUGUUCUGUUUUUAUAUACUUUUUACUGAAGACGUACAAAUAACAUUGCUUCAGGAAAUUUUUAUAAACAUCCAACUCAGCUAAGCGUGGGAAUUUCGUACGAUAGUUCUGGGCUCUCAUGGUCGCUGACCCGGGAACUUUGGGAGGGAAACUCUGGUGCCCAGGGAAUUGUGAAUAAAGUGAGUUGAAUAGAACUUUUAACCCUGUAUGUGGCAUAAUCAUCUUUGUGCCAGUUUUUACAAGCGAAGAUGGUUGGGAAGAUGGUCAAAGACCUCAAAUGCUAUAGUUCUAAACAGUGUAACUUACUAAAACGUUAUGUUCUGUAUUCAUAGGCCUCGUAUUUGUGACAUUUUUCUUUACUCUUUAGGACUCUGGAAUAUGUGGAAGAAAAAUAAAAGUUAGUACAUCCUUAACUGAUGAUGAAGUGGAAGAUGAAGAGGAGACAAUUGAAGAGCAAGAGGCAAAUGAAGGAAAUAUAGACCAUCAAACAGAACUCUCUAAUUUAGCCAAAGAAGGUAUAUUAGAAUUAUAUAGCUUAGUUUUACAACAGUAUGGUAUUGAACUUUUAAAUCCUGUUUACAAGUAUUCCUUCUUACAUUUAGAGUGUGCUUCACAGUCUAUAAAAUGAAGUCCUUAUUUUUAAUUUCUUUUUUUUCUGUUGGCAUUUUCCUGUACAUAUCCAUAAUACUUUUAUUUGAUGGUCAUGUAUUUAACUAUAAAUGAUUUUUACAGACUGUUUAUUUUAAGUACUAAAACCUUUGUAAUUUUGAUUUUGGUUGUUUAUGUUUCUUUACUGAUAUAAGUAUAUUUAGAAUUGGCUGUCUUUUAGCACUUUUACAAAAUAUUUAUUUAACCAACAUUUUUGAGACAAGUGCUUAUAGUAUUUGGGGCAGCUAGGUGGUGCAGUGGAUGGAGCACAGGGCUUGGAGUCAGGAAGACUCAUCUUCUUGAGUUCAAAUCUGGCCUCAGACACUUACUAGCUGUGUGACCCUGGGCAAGUCACUUUACCCUGCCUGCUUCAGUUUCUCAACUGUCAGAUGAUCUGGAGAAGGAAGUGGCCAACCACGGCGGUGUCUGCCGAGACAACUCCGGUGGGAAUCCUGAAGAGUUGGAGGUGACCGAAAAACGGCUGAACAGCAACAGUAACAACAAGUGGUAGUUACA